Molecule: ribosomal RNA, 439 nt
Filed under: uncultured bacterium
Lineage: Bacteria
Description: partial 16S ribosomal RNA
Rfam family: Bacterial small subunit ribosomal RNA
Source: RNAcentral
CUACGGGUUGCACCAGUGGGGAAUAUUGGACAAUGGGGGAAACCCUGAUCCAGCAAUGCCGCGUGUGUGAAGACGGCCUUAGGGUUGUAAAACUCUUUCGCUAGGGAAGAUAAUGACUGUACCUAGUAAAGAAGUCCCGGCUAACUCCGUGCCAGCAGCCGCGGUAAUACGGAGGGGACUAGCGUUGUUCGGAAUUACUGGGCGUAAAGAGUUCGUAGGCGGACUGACAAGUUAGAGGUGAAAUCCCAGGGCUCAACCCUGGAACUGCCUUUAAAACUGUCAGUCUAGAGACCGGAAGAGGUUAGGGGAAUACCUAGUGUAGAGGUGAAAUUCGUAGAUAUUAGGUGGAACACCAGUGGCGAAGGCGCCUAACUGGUCCGGUACUGACGCUGAGGAACGAAAGCGUGGGGAGCAAACAGGAUUAGAUACCCCCGUAGUC